RNAcentral lists this ribosomal RNA (497 nucleotides) under uncultured bacterium. Its description in RNAcentral is "partial 16S ribosomal RNA". It matches the Rfam family "Bacterial small subunit ribosomal RNA", at positions 28 to 507 of the family's 1533-position model. The record is from RNAcentral.
GAUGAACGCUGGCGGCGUGCCUAAUACAUGCAAGUCGAGCGAACAGACGAGGAGCUUGCUCCUCUGACGUUAGCGGCGGACGUGUGAGUAACACGUGGAUAACCUACCUAUAAUACUGGGAUAACUUCGGGAAACCGGAGCUAAUACCGGAUAAUAUAUUGAACCGCAUUGUUCAAUAGUUAAAUACGGUUUUGCUGUCACUUCUAGAUGGAUCCGCGCCGCAUUAGCUAGUUGGUAAGGUAACGGCUUACCAAGGCAACGAUGCGUAGCCGACCUGAGAGGGGGAUAGGCCACACGGGAACUGAGACACGGACCAGACUCCUACGGGAGGCAGCAGUAGGGAAUCUUCCGCAAUGGGCGAAAGCAUGACGGAGCAACGCCGCGUGAGUGAUGAAGGUCUUCGGAUCGUAAAACUCUGUUAUUAGGGAAGAAAAAAUGUGUAAGUAACUAUGCACGUCUUGACGGUACCUAAUCAGAAAGCAACGGCUAACUACGUG